UACAGAGAUCUCAAGCGUUGUUCGGAUUCAUUGGGCGUAAAGGGUGCGUAGGCGGCGCGGUAAGUCGGGUGUGAAAUCUUGGAGCUUAACUCCGAAACUGCAUUCGAUACUGCCGUGCUUGAGGACUGGAGAGGAGACUGGAAUUUACGGUGUAGCGGUGAAAUGCGUAGAUAUCGUAAGGAAGACCAGUGGCGAAGGCGGGUCUCUGGACAGUUCCUGACGCUGAGGCACGAAGGCCAGGGGAGCAAACGGG
This 253-nucleotide ribosomal RNA is filed under the name uncultured bacterium. RNAcentral describes it as "partial 16S ribosomal RNA". It matches the Rfam family "Bacterial small subunit ribosomal RNA", at positions 524 to 776 of the family's 1533-position model. The record is from RNAcentral.